Molecule: ribosomal RNA, 402 nt
Filed under: bacterium
Lineage: Bacteria
Description: partial 16S ribosomal RNA
Rfam family: Bacterial small subunit ribosomal RNA
Source: RNAcentral
UGGGGAAUUUUGCACAAUGGGGGAAACCCUGAUGCAGCGACGCCGCGUGAUUUAGAAGGCCUUCGGGUUGUAAAAAUCUUUUCUAUGGGAAGAAAAUGACAGUACCAUAGGAAUAAGGACCGGCUAAUUACGUGCCAGCAGCCGCGGUAAUACGUAAGGUCCGAGCGUUGUCCGGAAUCAUUGGGCGUAAAGGGUACGUAGGCGGGUAAGCAAGUUAGAAGUGAAAUCCUAUAGCUCAACUAUAGUAAGCUUUUAAAACUGCUCAUCUUGAGGUAUGGAAGGGAAAGUGGAAUUCCUAGUGUAGCGGUGAAAUGCGCAGAUAUUAGGAGGAAUACCGGUGGCGAAGGCGACUUUCUGGGCAUAACCUGACACUGAGGUACGAAAGCGUGGGUAGCAAACAGG